This 480-nucleotide ribosomal RNA is filed under the name Oxyrrhis marina. Its description in RNAcentral is "partial Bacterial large subunit ribosomal RNA". It matches the Rfam family "Bacterial large subunit ribosomal RNA", at positions 403 to 881 of the family's 2925-position model. Lineage: Eukaryota; Dinophyceae; Oxyrrhinales; Oxyrrhinaceae. The record is from RNAcentral.
GUAUCCCAAGUAGGAAGAGACACGUGAAACCUCUUCUGAAUUUGCGAGGACCACCUCGUAAGACUAAAUAUUCCUGAAUAACCGAUAGUGAACCAGUACCGUGAGGGAAAGGUGAAAAGAACCCCGGGAGGGGAGUGAAAUAGAACAUGAAAUCGUAAGUUUACAAGCAGUAGAAGAGCGACUUAACGCUCGACUUCGUGCCUGUUGAAGAAUGAGCUGGCGACUUGUAGGUUAUGGCAAGGUUAAAGUAAGAAAAUACUGGAGCCAGAGUGAAAGCGAGCUUGAUAAGAGCGUUAAGUCAUAAUUUACAGACCCGAACCCGGAUGAUCUAACCAUGGCCAGUGUGAAGCUUAGGUAACACUAAGUGGAGGUACGAACCGACUGUUGUUGAAAAAACAGCGGAUGAGUUGUGGUUAGGGGUGAAAUUCCAAUCGAAUCCGGAGCUAGCUGGAUCUCCCCGAAAUGCGUUGAGGCGCAGCG